This is a long non-coding RNA of Equus caballus (horse), 2043 nucleotides long. Lineage: Eukaryota; Metazoa; Chordata; Mammalia; Perissodactyla; Equidae. The record is from Ensembl.
GUGACCUUGAGCAAGUUACUUGACCUCUCUGUGCCUCAGUUUCCCUAUAAGUUUGCUGUGACGACUAAAUGAAUUACUGUAGUCCCCUAAUGCCUGGGAUAUGGCAGGCACAAGAUACAUCGAAUAAAGAAAGAAAAAAUCAAGAGGAAGGGUUCUCUGUGCCGAGACCAAAUUUGGGGCAGUCUGUGUGCGAACAGCCAACCCCAGUGUUUCUCCCACAGGAGAAGACUCAGUUCUUCAAAAGAAGAGGGAUCUCCUAAGCACUCGUGGAGAUGGUCCUCAGGGCCCAGCCAGAGUCACUGCUGCCAUGGUUGCUUCCCAGGGGCCUGGACAAGCAAGAGAAAAGUCUGAACCACAGAGGACAAGGAGGAAAUUCUGCAUAGGAAUAGAAAUUAACUCAAGGGCUGCCUGCCAUCAGCCAGGUGCCCAGAGAGACACCCCCUCCUCCCUUCCUUCCCCUGUGCUGAGAAGGCAUGCCCAGGUUUUGGACCCACCCUGGCCUCCUUAGAGUCCUCUAAGAGAGGCCCAGAGACGCACAGAUGUUGGUGUUGCCGCAGCAACUGACCUAACCUUCCUCUGUUUCUGCUCAGGUUCCUAAGAGGCACAAGGAGGAAAACGGGCAACCACUGGCUCCACGGCCCAGCCAAGGCACCCAUGGAAGCCCCUUGUGCCCUGCCUUCAGCUCCUCCGCAGGCCGGGCCAUGCAGUUCUCGUCCAUGCGCCCAGGUCUCCCAGGCCAACAUCACAGCAGGUUUUUUCGGACCCUAGAAGGUCCUUAUUCUGCAACUGAGGAGACAGAAGGCCAGACAGGGAAUGCCACUGGUCACCCAUGAAGCAGAGGGAGACAAAACAUACAUCCAGGCCCGUCUGGUCCGAAUCUAGCCUCUCGCCCCUCACCCCCAGCCUUCUGAUGACUUGCUCCCAAAAGAUACCAUUUUCUUUCCUUUUAAAACCCAUCUGAACACUGUCAAAGACAAGACAUUAAAAAAAAGAAACAUCGAGGGUGUCCCCAUUCCAUCCCGCUCAUUCAGUAAAGGAGUAAGGAUUCUUCUCUCGUGCAUACUCUCAGACAACACGGCAAGGCACAAAGGAAGGGUGAAGAAACUGAAAAAAGGUAAAGAAAUAAAAACGUCAAUCUAAUGAAAUGACAUGACUGACUAGAAGAAUACAAAAGAAUAAACAAAAAUAUAUUUUAAAAUAAAAAAAGAAGCCCAGAAUUACCAAAUAUCACAAAUAUCACAAAGAUAUCAUCUAAGAUGACAUGAAUUGGAAGUUCCUAAUUUUGAGAUUUCAGAAUGCUAAAAUUUCAAAAGAAAUGUGGGAUGCCAACCUGGGAUUGCCAACUGGUUUUUAAAAUAUGCUAAGUAAAGUCAUUUUAAAAACUAAAAAACAGGGGCUGGCCCCGUGGCCGAGUGGUUAAGUUCGCGCGCUCCGCUGCAGGCGGCCCAGUAUUUCGUUAGUUCGAAUCCUGGGCGCGGACAUGGCACUGCUCGUCAGACCACGCUGAGGCAGCGUCCCACAUGCCACAACUAGAAGAACCCACAACGAAGAAUACACAACUAUGUACCGGGGGGCUUUGGGGAGAAAAAGGAAAAAAUAAAAUCUUUAAAAAAAAAAAAAACUAAAACUAAAAAACAAAAUUAAAGAAAAAACUCUAAAACCGCCCCCAAUAUCUUAAAACAAAACAAAAAACCCAAAUUACUAUCUAUUGUGAUUCAAAAAGAAAUGACAGGGAAAUACUAAAGGUAGGAGGAUUUUGUAGCCUCCACAUCAAAAGGAGUCCCCUCACUGAAUAAAUUUAGCCUGAUCAGAAACCCACUACAGCAUCUUUAUCUUCCUCAUUUCACUGUGGGUUGGCACCUGGCAACACUGCCUCACUCAGCUCUCACCCUCGCGCAGGAAUCCCUUCCACAAAUGCUCCCGCGCCCUGUCCCGAGUGUUGGCUCAAGCAGGUCGCUGGCUGCCUCAUAAACCAACCAGUUCUAAAAGUAGCAGAACGUGAGAAAAAUGCACAAAAAUCAAUACCAUUCCUAUAAACACAUG